AUGUGACCCGUGGACUUCCCUUUGUCAUCCUAUGCCUGAGAAUAUAUGAAGGGGGCUGGGGAGGCAAAGGGACGUUCAACUGUCAUCACC
RNAcentral lists this microRNA precursor (90 nucleotides) under Taeniopygia guttata (zebra finch). RNAcentral describes it as "mir-204 microRNA precursor family". It matches the Rfam family "mir-204 microRNA precursor family". The record is from Rfam by way of RNAcentral. Lineage: Eukaryota; Metazoa; Chordata; Aves; Passeriformes; Estrildidae.